AAGGGCACCACAAGAACGCGUGGAACAUGUGGCUUAAUUUGACUCAACACAGAAAAUCUUACCGGGUCAGGACAUAUCAAGGAUUGACAGAUAUAAAUUCAUUGCUUUUUUUUUUUUUUUUUUUUUAAAAAUAAAAGUGAUCAUACGUUAUAUUAUAAUGAAAGUUCUUUUAUGAUUAUGUGAUAAGUAGUGCAUGGCCGUUGUUAGUNGUGGAAUAAUUUGUCUGCUUAAUUGCGUUUUCAUACGAAUAUAAUAUCUCUACAAAGAUUAGAUGCCUAAAAACAUUGAAAUUUGAGUAUUAUAGUUUUCAAAUAUUAAAUCUAAUGCAACGAGCGAGAUUGUAGCCUUUUGUUAUAAUUUAUAUAUAUAUAAAAACAAGUACAUUAAAACUAAAGGGACCACUAUUAGAUUAAUACAUCUCAAUUUAGUGGAAGAUUACAGCAAUAACAGGUCUGUGAUGCUCUUAGAUGUUCCGGGCUGCACACGUGUUACAAUAAUAAUAAACAAAAUAAAGGCAUUUUCUUUUAAAACCCAUUAAUUCUAUAAUGGACUUUUAAUGCAAUGUCUAUAAAAUAAAUAUAUAUUUUCACAAGGGUAUAUUUAUAUUCAUAUAAUAAAUUAAAUAUUAUAUUUUAUUUUCUAAAAAUACAUACUAUUUUAUGUUCUAAUUCUAGAACAAUAAUAAUUAUUAAGGUAGGAACAGACUAUUGUUAAUUAUUAGUCUCGUUUUUAACUAGGAAUGCCUUGUAUAGUUAAUAAGAUANACUUAUGUUUAAAUAAAAAAAUUCGAAAAAUUAUCUUUUUUUUUUUUUUUUGUGGCAUAUCCUAUAUUAGAAUACUGAGUAGAAUAAGUCCCUGCCCUUUGUACACACCGCCCGUCGCUCUUACCAAUGAAUUUCAAUAUGAGUAUAAGGGAUAGUAGUUUUUUAAAUAAAAUAAAAAAAAACAAUAAUUGAUCAUUAAACUAAUACAAAUAUUGUUAUUUAAAGGAAAGAGAAGGCGUAACAAGGCAUCAGUAGGUGAACCU
Molecule: ribosomal RNA, 1027 nt
Filed under: Patellina corrugata
Lineage: Eukaryota; Foraminifera; Spirillinida; Patellinidae
Description: partial 18S ribosomal RNA
Rfam family: Eukaryotic small subunit ribosomal RNA
Source: RNAcentral